GGAAGUUUGUUGCUGUUGAUGUGGCUGUGAUUGCUGUGAAAAUGGUGUUGAAAAUAGUGUCGAUCCAAAACCAGUGCCAAAUGAUGAAGUUGACGGCGUGCCGAAUGCUGGGGUUGAUGAAGGUGUGCCGAAUGCUGGGGUCGACGAAGGUGUGCCGAAUGAUGGAGUGCCGAAGGCGGAGGAGGGCUGAGCUCCGAACAUUGUUGCAGUGGUGGAGAUGGUGAGAAAGGACAAACCCUAGGUUGGCUUAGGAAGUAACUAUGAAUUUCAACGCAUUUGCCGCCAUUUUCUUUUGGAA
RNAcentral lists this long non-coding RNA (298 nucleotides) under Solanum lycopersicum (tomato). RNAcentral's name for it is "partial TCONS_00192318". Lineage: Eukaryota; Viridiplantae; Streptophyta; Magnoliopsida; Solanales; Solanaceae. The record is from RNAcentral.